RNAcentral lists this long non-coding RNA (1419 nucleotides) under Capra hircus (goat). Its description in RNAcentral is "lncRNA (ENSCHIG00000000801.1)". Lineage: Eukaryota; Metazoa; Chordata; Mammalia; Artiodactyla; Bovidae. The record is from RNAcentral.
AUGCCGAGGACAGAAGGAGGCUGCACUGCGCUGCUGGCGGGGCAGGCUGCAGGGGGCGACACCUGGGCUUUCACCCGAGCCCUGCACACACUCGUCUCACCGCUGACACUCUCCAGCCCCUGCGGCCACUGUCCUGGACUCUCUCCCUCCACUGGUGGAAGCCCGGCCCUCACAUUUACAUCACUAAUGUCCAGCACAGGUCUCAUCCCAGCCGUGACCCAGACAACUCUGUCUGAAGUCCCACCAGAACCCCGAAGCAGCACACCCAGCUUCCAGUGCUGGCCCACGAUGGUAAGACACAUCUCUCCUUAUCCCUCCCCCACCCCCGGCCAACCUCCGCUAAUACAGCUUAAACCCUGGAAAUGAUAGAAACGGCUGCUUAAACGGCACAGAUGAAUCAUCUCAUAGUUGUAAAAGCAGAGGCUGAAGUCAGACUCAGAGGCUCCAGGACACCUGGCUGUGCCCCUCCUGGAGGCCCCAGGGAGCCCGCUUCCUGGCUUUUCCCACUUCCUUGGCUCCGCCUCACUCCCCCUUCUGUUUCUAUCAUCAUAGCCCAGUCUCUCCCUCUGACUCUCCUGCCUCUGUCUUAUAAAAACCCUUAUGAUGCCAGUGGGCCCACUAGGGUAAAAAACAUCUCAAGAUCUAUAAUUUAAUCAUAUCUGCAAAGUCCCUUUUGUCACCUGAGGUAACAUAUUUACAGGUUCCAAGAAUUAGGACGUGUACAUCUUUGGGGUCCAUACUCAACCUAUCAGACCAGUAUAUAAUGAUAAGCUGUGUGUAUGAUAUAAUACCUAGAGCAACCACUAGGUAAACUAUACAAAGAGAUAUACUCGAAACACUACAGAUAAAUCAGGAUGGAGUUCUAAAAAAUGUUUAGACAACCUACGAUUAUAUUAGGUGAAAGAAAACAGUGAAAAUGUCAAAACAGGGAAAACAAACAAAAAGCAAAAAUAAAAUGACAGGCUUAAGUCUAAUAUAUCAAUAAUUACAUCAAAUAUAAAUAAUUUAACUAUCCCAAUUAAGAGGCUUCCCUGGUGGCUCAGACAGUAAAGAAUCUGCCAGCAAUGCAGGAGACCAGGGUUCAAUCCCUGGGUUAGGAAGAUCUCCUGGAGAAGGAAAUGGCAAUCCACGCCAAUAUUCUUGCCUGGGAAAUCCCAUGGACAGAGGAGCCUGGCAAGCUACAGUCCACGGGGUUGUAAAGAGCUGAACAUGACUAAGCAACUAACACACACACAUCCCAGUUAAAAGGCAGAUUGGAGUAGUGCUUUGAAAAAAUAAUCUUGUAUUGACUGCUUACAAGAAACUCACUAAACUAUAUAACAUCAUAGCUAAGCUGAAAGUAAAAGCAUGGAAAAAAUAUAUACCAUAUAAACAGUAAUAAAAAAAAAGAAAGUGUGGCUGUAUUGAUAUCAGAUAAAG